UGCCAUAUUUUCAUUGACACACUGUAGUGUGGUAGCAGACCUUCAUGCACCUUUGAACCUGGUUGACUCAUUCUUUGAUUUGAUUAACGGUUGCUAUGUCGGUUGCCAAGAAACUACUCUGCGUGAGUUUGCCUCCGAAGUGACAAUAUGAUGUAAACUAGGAAUUAAAAACAUUGAACGUGGAGUCCCUAUGCCAUUAGAAUAUGCAAGGCUUCUUCAGUGGCCUUUGCCCCCUAAAAAGAUUCCCCCCCAUUGUGAAACCACUUCUACCUAUAUUUUCAGUACAAUCAUAGACUCAUUGCCAUCAACAGAGAGAAAGGCUCUGAAGGACAGUGCCACAGAGGGGAUGGAGUCGAGCUGCCACGUGCUUCCUCUUUGGGACUAUGACCCUGCAGUAUUCAGAGUGGCCCCCACUCCCCUGACCUCAGUCCAAAUGAUGCUGAUGCCUAAAAUAAUCGAGGGCUUCUCCUGUUAACCCCCAUUCACCCUCCCUAAAAUCCCCCUCCUCGACUGCCUCAAGACAGACCCCAGAUGCAUCCCUUCUCCCCCUACCUUUAGCUUCAAUGAUCUCCUGCGGGACCCCAAUGGCGGCAGUGGGCACCAGUUGCUGGAGGGCCUGAAGAAAGUGGCCCUGUCUCGCUGCAACUACAGGAAGUUGGUGGGUUCUUCCUAAUGUAACUGCACCAAGGGCAGCGGGCUGAAGUGUCCAAGUCCACUGAGAAAGUGCUAGAGGCAAAGACCAAGACCUCACAGAGGCAGAUCAUAUGUGAAACUCACUGUAUAUAAUAUGUUAAAAGAUGACCUGCCAUUGUAGUAGGCUAGAGUCCAGAUUGUAUUAUUAAGUGGGUAUUGUAUGACAAGGAUGCUUGCUUUUGUAAGUUAGUGGUGUACUGUUUCUUCAUGGGUAUUGUGUUAUCUGAUAAAAACUGACAGCAUUGAUCCGUAUGGAGGUGCAGGCUCAGAUGUGUCGGUGGAGCUGUCAGGGAGAUGAGACCUGCAGGUCUGAGCAGAAGUCUGUGGAGAGCUGGGUACCACCAGGGGAAAGACCAUAUGUUCAGAAGCAGGAAAACGUAUACCCCCAGGCAAGAACAUGUUUGCCUUCUCACUUACUUUACCAUAACCAACACUACAUAAACAACCAUCUGAAAACACACAUUUUUAGUGGUGAAUUUCAUUAUGGUGCUUUUUAGACGUUUUGAUUUGUUAUUGUUUUGUUUUUUCAUCUUAUGUAUGUUGUAUUGUAAAUAUUUCAGUUUUUAUUUUCC
Salmo salar (Atlantic salmon) is the source of this 1265-nucleotide long non-coding RNA. RefSeq lists it as uncharacterized. The record is from RefSeq and is a predicted model, not a curated record. NCBI's taxonomy places the organism in Eukaryota, Metazoa, Chordata, Actinopteri, Salmoniformes, Salmonidae.